UAAAUUUGCCCCGGGUGCCCUAUAUCAUCGAACCCUGCUAAUAGACAAAAGGUUUCCGUAGGUGAACCUGCGGAAGGAUCAUUAAACGAGUGCCUUCGGGUGCGAACGUCCGGUGAGGUCAACUGCACUGCUUCGGCGCAAGCCGAACGAAACCGUCGUCGUGUCGUCUGAGCCCACAUGAAUGACAAAACUUUCAACAACGGAUCUCUUGGUUCUGGCAUCGAUGAAGAACGCAGC
RNAcentral lists this unclassified non-coding RNA (237 nucleotides) under uncultured fungus. RNAcentral's name for it is "sequence contains ITS1, 5.8S rRNA gene". The stretch from base 189 to 237 matches the Rfam family "5.8S ribosomal RNA", at positions 1 to 49 of the family's 154-position model. The record is from RNAcentral. Lineage: Eukaryota; Fungi.